RNAcentral lists this long non-coding RNA (763 nucleotides) under Homo sapiens (human). RNAcentral describes it as "HSALNT0216368". The record is from RNAcentral. Lineage: Eukaryota; Metazoa; Chordata; Mammalia; Primates; Hominidae.
CCCCUGGCUCAGACAAGGGAGGUGGUGGACUGGCCAUGGCAGCUGUCCAGACUUGAUAUCACCCUGAACGUCCCCAAACCUCCCUCCCUCCACUCUUGCUUCGCCCUGACCAGAGAUGGAGGGUGGUGCUGGGAAUAGGAGGUAGGUGAGUGCCUGUCCUGGCCAACAGCAGAGGCCCUCGAGGGAAACUGCACCGCAGGUGUCACUCUAGAGCCCACAGCGGGGGCUGUCAACCUGGAGUGUGCAGCAGAAUCGCCUACAGCCCUCUGGCCCAGCCCCAGUGACUCUGGGUGAGUGGGUCUGGGGUGCAUUUCAAACAAGUUUCCAGGCGCUGCUGCCGCCAGUCCUAUCUGGAGACGACUCUCUGAGAAGCACAAGGUGGCCAGAGGGACAGGAGUGUCCUCAGACCGCCUCUCCCAGAGAGUGGGCCUCCUCAGUCCGCACCCCAGACAGGAUAUGCCAGCCUUGAAGCCUCUGUGGACAUCUCCAUGCUCAGGGGCGAUGCCCGGCCUCUGCCAACCACGCCAGCUUAGAUGAAGUCCAGGCACCUCCCUCAGUUCACCGUGUGCCCCUGAGCGAGUCUCUCGCCCACUCUGAGCCUCAGUUUCCUUAUCUGCACAGUGAGGAGGGGAGCAAGGCCACGUGCAGCUAUUUGAGCAGGCUGGACUGUAAUGGUGCAAUCUUGGCUCACCGCAACCUCCACAUCCCGGGUUCAAGUGAUUCUCCUGUGUCAGCCUCCAGAGUAGCUGGGAUUGCAGGUAUG